Molecule: long non-coding RNA, 4213 nt
Organism: Amphiprion ocellaris (clown anemonefish)
Lineage: Eukaryota; Metazoa; Chordata; Actinopteri; Pomacentridae
Exons: 2
Source: RefSeq, a predicted model, not a curated record
UGUAGUGAUACCAGGAAGCUGAAAUUUUGUAUUUUAUUGUCUCGCCAAUAGCCUUGGAUUAUUAUGAGCAUGAAUUCUAAUGAGGUAGCUGCACAGCGGCUCAGUGGUUAGCACCAUCAUCUUGCAGCUGGAAGAUCCCCGGUUCGCAUCCCCGCCAUCCUGGGAUCUUUCUACAAGGAGUUUAAACUACAAUCACGAACACAGCAAAACCUGCAUGGUGACCUACAGUAGCUUAGAUGUGCAGAUUUUAGAUUCAGGAGUCCUUUAGUCCAAAUGAAGAAAAACAAAUGCAUCAUUUUGUACUUUUAUCCCCUGAACUGUAAAUGUGAUUGUUGUUGCAUGUUGUAUAGGUACUUGGGGAUACUUGCACCAACCUGAGUGAACUUAGAGUUGUCAUGGCUUCAGUCCUUUUCAUGGCCCUUAAAUUGCAUGGAAAAGUAUAACCUGUCAGUCGCACGCAGUUCCAGUGUUGCAAGUAUAUAAUGUCAGCUGUAACAGAGGCAACAAGUAUCUCAGAUGUUAGAUUGUCAAAAUGAAACUUUUGAGAACACUCAUUGUGUUUUCGUUUAAGCUGCCAUGGAGAUUAAAAUGUAGCCUGCUGGUUACUUCUGAUCUGAUCCUAAAAUGUCAAAUUAAAAAGAGACGUGUACAAAAUGAUCCAAAUUUAUGAACAAUUAACAGUAUAUAAAUUACUUGUUUGCGUAUAGAUUCACUCGUUUAACGUCAAUUCCUUGGCUUCAAAGUUUAAAAAAUGAGAUUCCAAAUGAUUGUAACUCCAUCCCAGCAGAAGCAUAAUACCUGACUGAGUACUACUACAUGUCUGAAAUAAAGAUGCAACAAUUAAUCGAUUAGUGGCCAACUAUUGAGGUAAUUGCCAACUAUUUCUAUCAAUUACUCAGUUUGAGUAUCUUUUAAAGAAAAAUGUCAAAACUCUGUGGUUCCUGCUUCUCAAAUUUUAACAUUUUCAGGUUUCUUUGCUCCCCUGUGACUGUAAACAGAAUAUUUUUCAAGUUGUGGACAAAACAAAACAUUUGAUGACAUUGUUUUGGCCUUUAAGAAACAACUGACUGGCAUUUUUUCUUUUACCAUAUUCUGGCAUUUUAUAGACCAAACAGCUAAUUGAGAAAGUAACUGGCAGAUACAUUGUGACAUUGUGAAUUGAAGCCUUAGUCAAAAAAGGGCUAUACAGUAAUAAACUACACAGUUAUCACACCAUUCAGUAUACCCGUUUGAAAUGUUAAAAUUGUUCCUGUGUCUACGAGUGAAUUACAGCGGCUUUGCAUUGUAUAACAGCAUUCAUUUCAUGAUCUACCAUCAUUUAAUGAGGUGUGAUAAGAUGCCUGCAGCAUGUCGGUGUUCAGCUCUGAGUACAAGCAGCUAGUGAUUGGACUGCUGCCGUUACCCUCAGACCUGAUUUUCCUCACCUCAGUUACCUUAUUCCUUCAUAUGACCCUUCUUCCUUGUUGUUGUUCACCUCCUCCAGGGGAUCUACAGGUUUUGCUCAAUUAUUUUGUUUUGAUAAGGUGUUACAAGACCUUCAGAUAUCUUUCUCUCAGUCGAUUCAGUGCACUCAGCUGCCCCCAGUCUUUCUAAUGCAAUUUAACUUGUUUUCGUUUCAACAAUGAAGCCUUAUUAGUCGGCACAGUGUGUGAAUACAAUUAAGCAUCCUACGGGAGGAAUAAAGUAGCUGAAGUCAAUGUAACACACAUCUUUAGCUACAGAUAUAUUUGCAAGUUUAUGGGUGAAGACCUGAAGACUGAACUACGAAGCAAGAUUAUUGUGGUAGCAGGUAUGUUAAGCGUAAUGUUUCUCGGGGUUAAGAAGGUGGCUCUCUUCUAACCUGCUAGAUAACCAUGGCAACUGAUGUUGUGGAGCUAAUUAUUUAAGCAAAUUAUUUCCUGAUGAUUCUUUAUGAGCAAUGCAGAUUCUCAGUUGAAGGAAUAUGUUCUAUUUGUAAACUUGUAUGUUACUGAUCGCACUGAAUGAAGCCGUGGAGUUACAGUAUCACACACUGUAUGCAGUGUGUUGCCAUGGCAAACAACACAACAUCUAUUCAGCUGGUGAUGCAAAAAUCACAUAAAUUCGUUUUUAUGUUUAGUCUUGAUUUGCUGUGAAGUCUGUUACACUGCUGGUACUGCAGCUGAUAGAACACACAUUAGAAAGUAUAUUAGUUCAUUAAUAUUUAUUACAGAGAAUAUUAAAUCAUUAACAUUAAUUUCACUUUGAUUUGACCAGAAAUUUAAGGAAUAUCCUGCAUCAUGGGACAUGAUGCAGAUUGUCAUGUGAAUGUGAUCAGAGUUAGAAACAGAAAGUCUGAUUUAACAGAGGAAGUUGAUAACCACCUUCAUGAUACCUGUUGCCUCUGACUGGGGUUUUAGUUUUGUUGAGUCGACGUACAAAAAGAAAGCCUGACUAUGUCAAACCUGCUUUGCAGUUCAGCCCUCAGGCAUCUCAGUCACAACAACAAAGCAAUAUACCAAUAUUUCCCCCCCAAAAUUACAGAAAGACAUCUGAUAACUUUAACCAACACAGCAACACAUUUCCUCGAACAGUCGAUGCAAGUGUAAAAAAAAUAACUUCAGGUUUUCGUUUUUAUUUCAUCAACACCCUUUGGCACAGCAACUUCAUGGAUGUGAUUGGUGGUGACAGCACACACCUCUUGUCAUUUCACUAAAAGCAAACAUUCAGUUCAGAGCUCAGGUGUAGUCUGUGCAGGCAGGUAUAUGGUUAGACAGGCAGGUAGGCAAGUCAUCUCUUGCAGUGGUUGUUUUUUUGCAUGAAACUGCUACAGACAGGAGAUACUUUUUUUAGUGUUUACUACCACCGUUGGUUUAUUGAUUGUUGUCAAGAUGUAAAAAGAUUUUCCCCCUCCACUGUGGAGGUUCUGGAGAAAUAAGGAGUUAUAAUUUUUCAAAAAAUUAGAUUUUAUAAGACAAAUGGACGGUUUACAUAAAGGAUCUCAGUCUGGAAUAAUUUGCCACAUGACGGAAUCAGCCAGCAUUCAGUCAAACAUCAUCCCAGCGGAUGUGGACGGUACUAGCACCUGUGAAAAGAAACUGAAUUUAAAUUACCUUCAAAAAAUAAUAUAGUAUAAAGACACUGUAUCUGGAAAGUGAGGUGAAGUGAAGUCACAUAUGACUCCUCUGAAGGAUUCUCAAGCUUUUUGGACAUCGGACUGGACACUAUUUUUGACAGAAACUAAACGCCGCACAUCAUCACAACACACAAUCUCCACCGUGAAGCAUGGUGGCGGCAGCAUCAUGAUGUGGGGAUGCUUCACUGGGAGGCUUGUAAAGGUGGAGGGUAAAAUGAAAGCAGCAACUUACAGGGAAAUCCUAGAGAACAACCUGAUGCAGUCAGCGUUGGAACUGCAACUUGGGAGAAGAUUUGUGUUCCAGAAAGACAAUAAACUCAAGCAAACAGCCAAAACUACACAGAAAUGGCUUAAAGACAAGGUGAAUGUUCUGGAGUGGCCGAGUCAGAGCCCGGGCCUCAAUCUAGAUAAGAUAAGAUAAGAUAAAGUUCUUUAUUUCUCCCCACUCCAGGGGAAAUUUACAUUGUUACAGCAGCUUUAUUUACAAUAUAUACAAGGGUGGCAAAAUUUUUUAACAGAAAAAAUAAAAAUAAAAAUAAAGUUUAAAAGUGCAGAGAUGUGCAGUGCAAGAAUGUCAGUGCAAAUUUUAUGGUUUGGGGUGGUAAUGAUAUAGUCCAGUUUAUGUUAACAUCAGCCAGUGAUGCUGAUGUUGUAAAGUCUUAUAGCAGAUGGGAUGAAGGACCUGCGAUAGCGCUCUUUCUUGCAGGGUAAGAAUUUGUGGAAGGAUUUAAAAACAGCUGCUCAAUUUCAGUUGUAACUUAAGAGAACUUGAGCAGUUUUCAAAUAGCUGUUUGCUCGUGACCUCAGUGUAACCCGACAGAGCUUCAGCAGCUUUGCACAGAAGAAUGGAGUAAAAUUGCAGUGUCCAGAUGUGCAAGAUUGAUUUCAACCUAUUGAGUAGAUGCACCACAAGGUGUAUCAACUAAAUACUGACAAGGAAGGAGUGAAUACCUGUGCAAUCACUUACUUUACAUUUUUAAUUGUAAAUAAUUGACUUUGUACAAAUUUGUUUUCACUUAGACACGAAAGAGUCUUUUUCUGUAAAUUCUUGUAAAUAAAUUAAUAAUUACGUUGACCAUGAUUUAAUACUGAAAAGCAAUAAAAGGGUUAAACUUCCAA